AACCAUAUAGCUCAGUGGUUUAGAGCACCCAGUAUAUAUAUCCGGGAGGUCCUGGGUUCAAACCCCAGUCUGGUCA
Non-coding RNA from Lactarius vividus, 76 nucleotides. The record is from the annotation of a GenBank genome assembly. NCBI's taxonomy places the organism in Eukaryota, Fungi, Basidiomycota, Agaricomycetes, Russulales, Russulaceae.